CAGGGGCGGGCGCGGGGGCGGCGGCUGGGUGAGGACGCAGGCCUGAGUCAGAGCUGCGGCCCGCGAAGGGAGCGCGGCCUGAGGGCAGCGGCGGGCACUUGGGGGCCGCCCCGCCCCGGGCAGCGCCCGCCGGCUCUCGGCUCAGUCCGGCUCAUUCCUCCCGGCCGCCGCCUCGUGCUCCGGAGCUGGGGACCCGGGGGCGGGCAGGAGAGGCCUCGCUCGCCCAGGACCUGCUCGGGGACCCCGCCCGCCUUGGUGAUCGAUCGUCGAGUCCCUAUCACAGGCCUCCUUGGGGUGAGGAAACAGCUGGGGACUAAGGAAAACUCGAGAUCCCAGCAGGGCAGAUUGGCCCUCCACCCCAGGUCCCUGCCUGCAGCCUGAGCCUGGAUUCCAUUUCCAGGCCGACUGGCGACUUGGAAUCAGCUGCGUCCAGUUGGAGCUGAGCUGGUUGGGGCCGGAUGGGACCACCGAUUCCCGAGCCGGGCCUGCGCGAGGGCCCGCCCAGCGCCCUCUAGACCGUGCAGGGGCCUGUAGCCCAGCUACGCCUGCGCAGAAGGAGUCCCGCACCUUUCUCCAAUCAUCAGUCACCUUUCCCCGCGCUCCCCACGCCUCAGGUGGCCCUGCUUCUUUAUUCGUUAUCGCGUAAAUACCCCGAGCCCCUUCCGUUCCCUUCCGGGACGCAGAGCUGAGAUCUGCCCUCCCAUCUCCUGGCUUGGCCGCCUCGCCAACAGACCCGGGCGUCUCGGCGUUUGGCAUGUUGUGCAUCAGCCAAGAGGAACCUGGUUGGGUACCAACUGCACGGGGACACUGCGCUCGGGGCCGCUGACUCUGCGCCACCUGAACCAGUUUGUGGUUUCGGAAACAUCAGCAGGCAUGUGACAACCAGAAUUUCAGAUAAAUUGCUCUUGCAAAAGUCUGGAGGACACUGGGAAAGGGAAGAGACCGGAGGCCCAGAGGCAACUAGAAGCCUGUUCAGAUCUCCGGGAGGGACAGGAAUCCGCCAGCGGUGACGGUGACGGUGACGGGGAUGGAGCAGCGUGAACGUCUGCGCAGCCGAGUGAACGAAGCAGGUGUAAGGAGGAGGGUCGUAUUCUGAAUACUUUGCGAUCAAGAUUUUGUUCCAACUUACGAAACUCUUCUGUACUUCUGGGAUUUUACAGAUUCUAAAUUAUUUCAUAUCAACACUCAUUCCACCUGUUGUACGUGAGGAGAAAAGACAGCAGCUGGAAAACAAGGGCGUCUGUGAAGGGAGCGGGGGCCACUCCAUCCGGCAGCUGACACAGCCAGACCCGUGCGCCGGGCUCCAGUCACCAGCGCAGCUGUGGUAAACAGCAGGACCCUGCAGGUGCCGAAGACCUCCAGAAACACCGUGCGCGAGGAGGACCGCCCGUGCAGUGGGGACGGGGGCCCGGCUCUCCGGAGGCCCUCGCUGUUGCCCACAGCUGUAGCAGCUGUCACGUCCGGGGGCCUCAUCUCACUUCCCUUCCAAGCGUACCUUGAAGAGCGGAGACACGCGUGCCCUCCUCAAGGACUCCUCCAGACUGAAGGAGAAAAGCACCUCGGCCUCAGCGUCCCGGAGAAGGUAGUUCUGCUCAUCUGGAAAAGAGAACAGCCCACUGUGCCAACAGUGCACGGCGCCCGGGACGCACAGUGCCACCCGCUCCAGGCCGCCCCCAGGCAGGGAUCUAGUUCCCCGACCAGAGAUCGCACCUGGGCCCCCUGCAUUGGGAGCACGGAGUCUUAACCACUGGACCACCAGGGAAGUCCCUGAAGUGAUGUAUCUGAAAUGACACAGGAAGCCGGGCUUCUCACUGUUGCUGGAGAAAGGAUUACAGACAAAGGACGGGAGGAAACAAGGACGAAGCCUGUGGUGGCAGAUAGACUGGCAUCGGCCAGACAGACACAGGAAGUGGAAAGAGGCUGCAGCAGGAGCAACACCCAAGGGCCACGAGCACCGUCCGUCCGUGCCCAGUUUACACUGAAAGGACUCGGGGAUCCUUGGGAAAACGCUGGUGCGGAACCAGGGCAGAAGAGCAUUAAGACUCUUCAAAGAAAUGCAACGUGCUGGCUCAAAAGCAUGUCUCCGGACCCUCCUCCCUCCAGGGGCCAGGGCUGGACUCGGCCUGGAGCGUGGGCCAGACCAACAGAGCGCGGCGGGCGACGGCACGCGGCCUCAGCAAAGCCACGGGGGAGGCGGCGCCACGCUGAGCAGACGCGCUCCCUGGAGAGGCCCGGGGCGGGGGCGUGGGCCCCCCAAGAGCCAUGGGGGCGGCAUUCUAAGCGGUUCCUGCAGCCCAGCAGAGCCCUCAGAUGUAGCCUCCUGGGGGCCAGGGCUCUAGCCACCUGCUAAGCCGCUUCAGGACUUCCAGCCCACACAGGAACCACGGGGUAGUAAGCGUCCGUUGUUUCAAGUCACUGAGUCUCGGGGGAGUCGUCACACAGCAACAGAAGACGAACGCAGUGUCACCUCUGCUUAACACGGUCCAGCCCCUCCAGUGACCUGUCUGUCUCCUCCACCCCGUGCCGUCCCUCCCGGAGGCCGCCCCCCGCUCCGGGGUUGGCCGGUCCCUCUCCACCCGCUCUCACGCCUGUCUGGACGGCCCUGCACCCUCACCCUCGGAAUCCCUUCCCAGCUCUGGGUCACACCCCACCCUUGGCCACACCCUCCUCUCGGCUGGCACAGCACGUUUGUAAGAAUGGCACACGGCAGGCACAGUUUUUGACUGGGGGAGUCCGAAAAUAUCUUCAUCCCACAGUCCCAUCUGACUGACGGACUGGAUAUGGCAUCCCAGGCUGGGAAUCUCGGGCUGCCUUUGAAAGCCAGACACCCGCCCAGGUCCCGCUGGUAGCCUCCUCAGCCCUGAGCCCGGGCGGCCCUCACACACUGCGCUUCCACGGCGGCCCCAACAGCGCCCUCUUCUCUCCUUUCAAUCUGCAGAAACGCCCUUCAGUUGUAAGCGACCUUCUUUCAACUUUCUUGCCUUCAUUUCCUCUGUUCCCAAACUUCUAGGAUUUAAUUUUGGACCUCUCGGACUAGCCCUUUAACUGACAAACAAAAACAAAACCCCCCAAAACCAAAAGCAAACCUCUUCUUAUCUCUGAAUUUUAUUCCACUUUUUUUUUCGGGAUAGUUUCUAAAUAUCAUUACCCCCUACACUUCCAUAGUUAAAAAAAAAAAAAAACGUCCACCGUUGUAACUCAGACAGGCGUCUCCUCCCCUGCCCCUGGCGACUGCCCUCCUUCGCGUGCUCAGCGCUUCCCAACCAAGCCCCAGCCCAGCCACCUCCCCGGCCUCCCGUGCCCAACAUCUCACGGCCACACGCGCACCUGCCCACGCUCCACACGCUCUCAAGACGAUGGGGAGCAAACUCCGGUUCCUACAACGUGCCAGGCCACUGUGCAAACUAAUAAAUCAAUCAACGGACUCAGUUCCACACCUGGACUAGAAGACUCUGAGGUCCCUUCCAACCACUCGCCUUUGGAGAACAGAGAUGACACAGGUGGCCAGCAGCUGUUUGUCAGACAUCUGCUCUGGAUAAUCCGCAACUGCGAACACACAUCCCAAGUUCACUAUGAACGUGUGAAGCGAGUCACGCCUGACCAUCACGUAUCCAGCAGUACGGUGAGGACCUCGGGCACACUGCUGCAAACAUAGCUGCUCGCCUGUCUACGUCAAGUGACCGAGAACAUGAAACCAACGGCUCCUGCCUGGGCACUGAGCAUCCCGAGCUGGUCCCUGCGGCGGCCUGAUGUUCUAUGGACGCCAGUGUUCACCUCAGGGUAUGGCGUCCCAAAGUACCAAAGAAAUCUAACUGUUCCGUCCUCGUAACUACACCCUCUGUUAGGUAACGAGACCCCCAUUCCCCGUUUUCUAAGCGUUAUUUUGGCACGAAUCCUUACCCUACCCGCAAACACUCUCCAAGUAAGCACGAGACUUUUGGGAGAAGAAAAGGAAGAAAGCACAUUACUAACUCUCUACUGCUGGGUCGUGUCCGAACAGCUGGCGCGGCGGCUGGCACGGCAGGGCCUGGGGCGCCUGCGUUUGCAUCUGCUGCUGGUGCAGGCGCUGGAGCUGCUGCAAGUGCGCGAGCUGGUGCUGCAGCGCCUGCUGCUGCGGGGGGAACUGGGGCCGGUGGGCCGGCGGGUAAGGCUGCUGCUGGAGCUGCAGGGCCUGCUGGGGCGGCAGGUGCGGGACGGGCGGCGGCGGCGACAGACGCGGCUCCGGGGUCCCUUUCGCCUGGCUGAGCAGCGCUGCGUUCGCGUGGCCCUGCUGGCCGCGGUUCACCUGCGGCUCUGAGGUCUUCGUCGGAGCUGCGAGGGACUGUAAGAUCUGGAAACAGAGAUCAGGCGAGGCGGUCAGCAGCAGCUGCCGGCGGGCGCUCCCCGCCCUCGUCAGGAGGGCAACGGCACGCCCUACACGCCGUCAGCCAGACGUUCGCUAACCGCACGGUGCAAACACAACCGCCGGCGUCUCCUGUGCACUAAGCAUCGCCAGUCUCAGUGAAGCAGAUAAAUUCAUAUUGUGAGACAUCUUCACCAAAAUGUGAAACUAACCUAAGUGAAAUGGAAUAAGCUGAUGAGUGAAAGUUGACCGACACAAGCUCAAGUGGCUGACGUGCUCCAGAGCAGAGGGACGGGUGUCCGGCCACACUGACCUCGCCGGCCCCGGGGCGCGGCCUUGUCCCUCCGGGGCCCCCUCCUGCCCGGCCACGAAGGCACCGGCAGCCGGAGAGCCGGACCCAAGCCUCCUUCCCACAGCUGCUGCUUCCCAACGGAGCAAGGGGUCCGGCAGAGGCGGACGCAAAGAGCCCAGCCGAGUGAAGGCACGGGACACAAGCGGCCCUGGAGAGCAGCCGCCGGCCCCUCCCGUCUGCGGUCGUCCUGCUCUGCCACAAGGACGAGGGGCGGAAGAGACACCAGCACCAGGCUUGCUCGCGUGGUCGACCUUCCCCCAGCCGAGAGCCCCUCAGCACAGCUGGUGCACUCGCCUUCCUCAGAGGUGAUGGGAGCUCCGCACGUGGGACAGAACACCUCAAGCUAGAGAACCGCCGCCAGCCAGCCGAGGUUGAGUGAACCCUCCUUCCCAGGGACAGGAGUCGGCCGAGAGCUGAACAAGCUGCAGGGCGGGAGGGGGCAGGACGGGGAAGCAGGAGACACCAGCUCACUGAGCGUCAGAUCGCCUGUCAUUUUACUACCCUGCGCAGCGCUGGAUGUAACAAAAGAAACGUGUCAUAUGAUGAAUCUUCCCAACAUGCUCAAGUAACAAAAAUUGGAAGCCAACUUCCUAUGGUCAAGGAAACCAGUAACAAACAGAUUUUACCAAAAGUCAAUCGAUACAAUUUAUCCCUAUUAAAACAUCCUUGUCAUUUAAAUAAAACUCCAGAAAUGCAACCUUCACAUAAACCAAAAACCUAUACAAAAAUCUCAAAUAUGUUUUUGACAUGUGUCUGGCACUUAAAACAGACUCCAAAACAUAAAGGUUAUAUAAUUUGCAAGAGUAACAGACUUUGGAUUUAGUGGUGAAACAAAUUAAAAUUGAAAUAAGUUAAACUCAAGGGUUUGAGUACAUCUGUCUUUGAAAUCACCCUAUAGCUAAGACAUCUCUAUAAGGAGACUCUUUGGGUACUUCAAAAACUCCUCAAGUUGAGCUCUGAGCAGGAAAAAAAGUUUUCAAUACGUUUGUAAUUAACAGGAUAACUAAUUCUUCUCUAUGCAAGUAUUAAAAAAUACCCAGGAAAGUGGAGGGAGAAAUGAACCCCACCACAUCCCUGCCCAAGUAUACGGAACAGCAUUUGGGAUGAACAUUUCCAUAAAAAAGCAGGCGGGAGUGGGGAGGGGAC
This is a long non-coding RNA of Balaenoptera ricei (Rice's whale), 5840 nucleotides long. RefSeq lists it as uncharacterized. Lineage: Eukaryota; Metazoa; Chordata; Mammalia; Artiodactyla; Balaenopteridae. The transcript has 12 exons. The record is from RefSeq and is a predicted model, not a curated record.